RNAcentral lists this ribosomal RNA (1404 nucleotides) under Triticum aestivum (bread wheat). RNAcentral describes it as "partial small subunit ribosomal RNA". Lineage: Eukaryota; Viridiplantae; Streptophyta; Magnoliopsida; Poales; Poaceae. The record is from RNAcentral.
AUGGAUGCAGGCUCCCGCUCGAUCUCUUCCGGCAAGAGCUGCGCCGCCGCGCAGCGUCCGCUCCAGGAGGCCGGAUCCCGCCCCUACAUGCCGUCGCUGAGCACGCGCAACCCGUCGGCCAAGUGCUACGGAGACAGGUUCAUCCCGGAUCGGUCGGCGAUGGACAUGGACGUGGCGCACUACCUGCUCACGGAGGGCAAGAAGGACAAGGAGAACGCAGCGGCAUCCCCGUCCAAGGAGGCCUACCGGAGGCUUCUGGCCGAGAAGCUGCUCAACAACCGGACGCGGAUCCUCGCCUUCAGGAACAAGCCGCCGGAACCCGAGAACGUGUUUGCUGCCGACACGGUUUCUUCUCACCAGGCCAAGCCGGCCAAGCAGAGGCGCUACAUUCCCCAGUCUGCCGAGAGGACUCUGGAUGCACCGGACCUCGUCGACGACUACUACCUCAACCUAAUGGACUGGGGGAGCAGCAACGUGUUGUCCAUUGCGCUGGGCGACACCAUGUACCUGUGGGACGCCUCAAGUGGAUCCACAUCUGAGCUCGUGACAGUCGAGGAGGACAACGGCCCCAUCACCAGCGUCAGCUGGGCUCCUGAUGGCCGCCAUCUUGCUAUUGGGCUCAACUCGUCUGACAUCCAGCUCUGGGACACCAGCUCCAGCCGCCUGUUGAGAACUCUGAAAGGUGUGCAUGAGUCAAGGGUCGGCUCGCUGGCAUGGAACAACAACAUCCUGACGACAGGCGGCAUGGACGGCAGGAUCGUGAACAACGACGUGAGGAUCAGGGAUCAUGCCGUGCAGACUUACCAGGGGCACAGCCAGGAGGUGUGCGGGCUCAAGUGGUCUGGCUCAGGGCAGCAACUGGCGAGCGGUGGCAACGACAACCUUUUGCACAUUUGGGAUGUGUCGAUGGCAUCCUCCAUGCCAUCUGCUGGCCGCAACCAGUGGCUGCACAGGCUCGAGGACCACACGGCCGCUGUGAAGGCGCUCGCAUGGUGCCCGUUCCAGAGCAACCUGCUGGCAACCGGCGGCGGCGGUAGCGACCGGUGCAUCAAGUUCUGGAACACGCACACCGGCGCAUGCCUGAACUCUGUUGAUACCGGGUCACAGGUUUGCUCUCUUCUGUGGAACAAGAAUGAGAGGGAGCUGCUGAGCUCACACGGGUUCACUCAGAACCAGCUGACAUUGUGGAAGUACCCUUCGAUGGUCAAGAUGGCUGAGCUCACUGGCCAUACCUCCCGCGUUCUCUUCAUGGCACAGAGUCCUGAUGGUUGCACGGUAGCGUCGGCUUCUGCGGACGAGACCCUCCGCUUCUGGAACGUGUUUGGCACCCCUGAGGUGGCCAAGCCUGCACCCAAGGCUUCCCACACCGGCAUGUUCAACAGCAGCUUCGCCCAUAUCCGAUAA